RNAcentral lists this ribosomal RNA (467 nucleotides) under uncultured bacterium. Its description in RNAcentral is "partial 16S ribosomal RNA". It matches the Rfam family "Bacterial small subunit ribosomal RNA", at positions 28 to 506 of the family's 1533-position model. The record is from RNAcentral.
GACGAACGCUGGCGGCGUGCUUAACACAUGCAAGUCGAACGGAAAGGCCCUGCUUUUGUGGGGUGCUCGAGUGGCGAACGGGUGAGUAACACGUGAGUAACCUGCCCUUGACUUUGGGAUAACUUCAGGAAACUGGGGCUAAUACCGGAUAGGAGCUCCUGCUGCAUGGUGGGGGUUGGAAAGUUUCGGCGGUUGGGGAUGGACUCGCGGCUUAUCAGCUUGUUGGUGGGGUAGUGGCUUACCAAGGCUUUGACGGGUAGCCGGCCUGAGAGGGUGACCGGCCACAUUGGGACUGAGAUACGGCCCGGACUCCUACGGGAGGCAACAGUGGGGAAUAUUGCACAAUGGGAGGAAGCCUGAUGCAGCAACGCCGCGUGCGGGAGGACGGCCUUCGGGUUGUAAACCGCUUUCGCCUGUGACGAAGCGUGAGUGACGGUAAUGGGAAAAGAAGCACCGGCUAACUACGU